RNAcentral lists this ribosomal RNA (301 nucleotides) under uncultured bacterium. RNAcentral describes it as "partial 16S ribosomal RNA". It matches the Rfam family "Bacterial small subunit ribosomal RNA", at positions 509 to 807 of the family's 1533-position model. The record is from RNAcentral.
CAGCAGCCGCGGGAAUACGAAGGGGGCUAGCGUUGUUCGGAAUUACUGGGCGUAAAGCGCACGUAGGCGGAUCGAUCAGUCAGGGGUGAAAUCCCAGGGCUCAACCCUGGAACUGCCUUUGAUACUGUCGAUCUGGAGUAUGGAAGAGGUGAGUGGAAUUCCGAGUGUAGAGGUGAAAUUCGUAGAUAUUCGGAGGAACACCAGUGGCGAAGGCGGCUAACUGGUCCAUAACUGACGCUGAGGUGCGAAAGCGUGGGGAGCAAACAGGAUUAGAUACCCCAGUAGUCCCUGUCUCUUAUAC